GCGUAAUCACGUGGCAAAGCGGCCAGUCUUCUGAGGCCGCUCAGACUGAGCGAGGCAGUCGGCAGAUUCACUAGAGGAGCGUGUUUUCAAGAUGUCUGGAUCAUUAAGUCUUGGUACGCGAUGGUGUGGCGGCAGGCGGCGGCACCUGGCGGUGGCUGCCUGAGCAGCGGGAGGCGACGUCAUGGCCGACCAGCGUAUUUCCGUGGUCGGGGCUGCCCAGCUGGCCGGCCGGCUGCGCACGGACCCUGCACAGGUGUUGGUGAUUGACAGCCGGCCCUUUCUGGAGUUCAACACGUGCCACAUCCGGGAUGCCGUCAACGUCUGCUGUUCCAAGAUCAUCAAGCGUCGUCUUGAGCGUGACAAGGCAAGUGG
Molecule: long non-coding RNA, 372 nt
Organism: Rhipicephalus sanguineus (brown dog tick)
Lineage: Eukaryota; Metazoa; Arthropoda; Arachnida; Ixodida; Ixodidae
Exons: 3
Source: RefSeq, a predicted model, not a curated record